RNAcentral lists this unclassified non-coding RNA (289 nucleotides) under uncultured bacterium. RNAcentral describes it as "partial contains 16S ribosomal RNA and 16S-23S ribosomal RNA intergenic spacer region". It matches the Rfam family "Bacterial small subunit ribosomal RNA", at positions 43 to 364 of the family's 1533-position model. The record is from RNAcentral.
CGUUCCUUACCAUGCAAGUCGAACGAACCUUCGGGUUAGUGGCGGACGGGUGAGUAACUCGUGAGAAUCUGCCCUCAGGAGGGGGAUAACGGUUGGAAACGACCGCUAAUACCCCAUAUGCCGAGAGGUGAAAAGAAAUUCGCCUGAGGAUGAGCUCGCGUCUGAUUAGCUAGUUAGUGUGGUAAUGGCGCACCAAGGCUUCCAUCAGUAGCUGGUCUGAGAGGAUGAUCCAGCACACCUGGGACUGAGACACGGGCCAAACUCCUUACGGAAGCAGCCAGGGGGAUCU